GUGCUGGCUUCAAUAACCCAUGCACUAAAUAUAAAAUGAUACAGAGAAGAUUCAUCUGCCCCUCUGUCCAAAGAGAUGACAUGCUAAAUUCUGAACUAGUCCAGAUUUUA
This 110-nucleotide small nuclear RNA is filed under the name Meriones unguiculatus (Mongolian gerbil). The record is from RNAcentral. Lineage: Eukaryota; Metazoa; Chordata; Mammalia; Rodentia; Muridae.